RNAcentral lists this ribosomal RNA (402 nucleotides) under uncultured prokaryote. RNAcentral's name for it is "bacterial SSU rRNA". It matches the Rfam family "Bacterial small subunit ribosomal RNA", at positions 355 to 774 of the family's 1533-position model. The record is from RNAcentral.
UGGGGAAUAUUGGACAAUGGGGGAAACCCUGAUCCAGCAAUGCCGCGUGUGUGAAGAAGGCCUUAGGGUUGUAAAGCACUUUCGCCCGCGAAGAUGAUGACGGUAGCGGGAGAAGAAGCCCCGGCUAACUCCGUGCCAGCAGCCGCGGUAAUACGGAGGGGGCUAGCGUUGUUCGGAAUUACUGGGCGUAAAGCGCACGUAGGCGGCUCGGAUAGUUAGGCGUGAAAGGCCUGGGCUUAACCUGGGAACUGCGCUUAAUACUGGCGAGCUUGAGUCCGGAAGGGGGUGGCGGAAUUCCCAGUGUAGAGGUGAAAUUCGUAGAUAUUGGGAAGAGAACCGGUGGCGAAGGCGGCCACCUGGUCCGGAACUGACGCUGAGGUGCGAAAGCGUGGGGAGCAAACA